RNAcentral lists this ribosomal RNA (406 nucleotides) under uncultured bacterium. Its description in RNAcentral is "partial 16S ribosomal RNA". It matches the Rfam family "Bacterial small subunit ribosomal RNA", at positions 30 to 526 of the family's 1533-position model. The record is from RNAcentral.
AUUGAACGCUGGCGGCAGGCUUAACACAUGCAAGUCGAACGAGUGGCGGACGGGUGAGUAAUGCUUGGGAAUCUAGCUUAUGGAGGGGGAUAACUACGGGAAACGGUAGCUAAUACCGCGUACCAUCGGAUGUACCCAUAUGGGAUUAGCUAGUUGGUGAGGUAAUGGCUCACCAAGGCGACGAUCCCUAGCUGGUCUGAGAGGAUGAUCAGCCACACUGGGACGGAGACACGGCCCAGACUCCUACGGGAGGCAGCAGGGGGGAAUAUUGCACAAUGGGCGCAAGCCGGAUACAGCCAUGCCGCGUGUAUGAAGAAGGCCCUAGGGUUGUAAAGUACUUUCAGUCGGGAGGCGUUACGGGCAGAAGAAGCACCGGAUAACUCCGUGCCAGCAGCCGCGGUAAUAC